Molecule: ribosomal RNA, 497 nt
Filed under: uncultured bacterium
Lineage: Bacteria
Description: partial 16S ribosomal RNA
Rfam family: Bacterial small subunit ribosomal RNA
Source: RNAcentral
GACGGACGCUGGCGGCGUGCCUAAUACAUGCAAGUUGAGCGCUGAAGGUUGGUACUUGUACCAACUGGAUGAGCAGCGAACGGGUGAGUAACGCGUGGGGAAUCUGCCUUUGAGCGGGGGACAACAUUUGGAAACGAAUGCUAAUACCGCAUAAAAACUUUAAACACAAGUUUUAAGUUUGAAAGAUGCAAUUGCAUCACUCAAAGAUGAUCCCGCGUUGUAUUAGCUAGUUGGUGAGGUAAAGGCUCACCAAGGCGAUGAUACAUAGCCGACCUGAGAGGGUGAUCGGCCACAUUGGGACUGAGACACGGCCCAAACUCCUACGGGAGGCAGCAGUAGGGAAUCUUCGGCAAUAGACGAAAGUCUGACCGAGCAACGCCGCGUGAGUGAAGAAAGUUUUCGGAUCGUAAAACUCUGUUGGUAGAGAAGAACGUUGGUGAGAGUGGAAAGCUCAUCAAGUGACGGUAACUACCCAGAAAGGGACGGCUAACUACGUG